CCUACGGGUGGCAGCAGUGAGGAAUAUUGGUCAAUGGCCGGAAGGCUGAACCAGCCAAGCCGCGUGAAGGACGAAGGUGCCAAGUAUUUUAAACUUCUUUUGUCAAGGGACAAAAUCAGGCUCGAGAGCCUGACCGAGGGUACUUGAAGAAAAAGCAGCGGCUAACUCCGUGCCAGCAGCCGCGGUAAUACGGAGGGUGCGAGCGUUAUCCGAAUUUAUGGGGUUAAAGGGGUGGUUAGGCGGACUGUUAAGUCAGCGGUAAAAGCCCGGGGCUCAACCCCGGCGAGCCGUUGAAACUGGCUGUCUUGAGAUGUGGAGAGGUAAGCGGAAUGCGCAGUGUAGCGGUGAAAUGCUUAGAUAUUGCGCAGAACUCCGGUUGCGAAGGCAGCAUACCGGCGGCGAUCUGACGCUGAGGCACGAAAGCGUGGGUAGCAAACAGGAUUAGAUACCCUAGUAGUC
Molecule: ribosomal RNA, 459 nt
Filed under: uncultured bacterium
Lineage: Bacteria
Description: partial 16S ribosomal RNA
Rfam family: Bacterial small subunit ribosomal RNA
Source: RNAcentral